This 379-nucleotide ribosomal RNA is filed under the name uncultured bacterium. RNAcentral describes it as "bacterial SSU rRNA". It matches the Rfam family "Bacterial small subunit ribosomal RNA", at positions 362 to 758 of the family's 1533-position model. The record is from RNAcentral.
UAUUGGACAAUGGGCGAAAGCCUGAUCCAGCAAUGCCGCGUGAGUGAUGAAGGCCUUAGGGUUGUAAAGCUCUUUUACCCGGGAUGAUAAUGACAGUACCGGGAGAAUAAGCUCCGGCUAACUCCGUGCCAGCAGCCGCGGUAAUACGGAGGGAGCUAGCGUUGUUCGGAAUUACUGGGCGUAAAGCGCACGUAGGCGGCUUUGUAAGUUAGAGGUGAAAGCCUGGAGCUCAACUCCAGAAUUGCCUUUGAUACUGCAUCGCUUGAAUCCAGGAGAGGUGAGUGGGAUUCCGAGUGUAGAGGUGAGAUUCGUAGAUAUUCGGAAGAACACCAGUGGCGAAGGCGGCUCACUGAGCUGGUAUUGACGCUGAGGUGCGAAG